RNAcentral lists this ribosomal RNA (1235 nucleotides) under Micrococcus sp. RNAcentral describes it as "bacterial SSU rRNA". It matches the Rfam family "Bacterial small subunit ribosomal RNA", at positions 191 to 1438 of the family's 1533-position model. Lineage: Bacteria; Bacillati; Actinomycetota; Actinomycetes; Micrococcales; Micrococcaceae. The record is from RNAcentral.
GGUGGGUGUUGGAAAGAUUUAUCGGUUUUGGAUGGACUCGCGGCCUAUCAGCUUGUUGGUGAGGUAAUGGCUCACCAAGGCGACGACGGGUAGCCGGCCUGAGAGGGUGACCGGCCACACUGGGACUGAGACACGGCCCAGACUCCUACGGGAGGCAGCAGUGGGGAAUAUUGCACAAUGGGCGCAAGCCUGAUGCAGCGACGCCGCGUGAGGGAUGACGGCCUUCGGGUUGUAAACCUCUUUCAGUAGGGAAGAAGCGAAAGUGACGGUACCUGCAGAAGAAGCACCGGCUAACUACGUGCCAGCAGCCGCGGUAAUACGUAGGGUGCGAGCGUUAUCCGGAAUUAUUGGGCGUAAAGAGCUCGUAGGCGGUUUGUCGCGUCUGUCGUGAAAGUCCGGGGCUUAACCCCGGAUCUGCGGUGGGUACGGGCAGACUAGAGUGCAGUAGGGGAGACUGGAAUUCCUGGUGUAGCGGUGGAAUGCGCAGAUAUCAGGAGGAACACCGAUGGCGAAGGCAGGUCUCUGGGCUGUAACUGACGCUGAGGAGCGAAAGCAUGGGGAGCGAACAGGAUUAGAUACCCUGGUAGUCCAUGCCGUAAACGUUGGGCACUAGGUGUGGGGACCAUUCCACGGUUUCCGCGCCGCAGCUAACGCAUUAAGUGCCCCGCCUGGGGAGUACGGCCGCAAGGCUAAAACUCAAAGGAAUUGACGGGGGCCCGCACAAGCGGCGGAGCAUGCGGAUUAAUUCGAUGCAACGCGAAGAACCUUACCAAGGCUUGACAUGUUCUCGAUCGCCGUAGAGAUACGGUUUCCCCUUUGGGGCGGGUUCACAGGUGGUGCAUGGUUGUCGUCAGCUCGUGUCGUGAGAUGUUGGGUUAAGUCCCGCAACGAGCGCAACCCUCGUUCCAUGUUGCCAGCACGUAAUGGUGGGGACUCAUGGGAGACUGCCGGGGUCAACUCGGAGGAAGGUGAGGACGACGUCAAAUCAUCAUGCCCCUUAUGUCUUGGGCUUCACGCAUGCUACAAUGGCCGGUACAAUGGGUUGCGAUACUGUGAGGUGGAGCUAAUCCCAAAAAGCCGGUCUCAGUUCGGAUUGGGGUCUGCAACUCGACCCCAUGAAGUCGGAGUCGCUAGUAAUCGCAGAUCAGCAACGCUGCGGUGAAUACGUUCCCGGGCCUUGUACACACCGCCCGUCAAGUCACGAAAGUUGGUAACACCCGAAGCCGGUGGCCUAA